RNAcentral lists this ribosomal RNA (288 nucleotides) under uncultured bacterium. RNAcentral's name for it is "partial 16S ribosomal RNA". It matches the Rfam family "Bacterial small subunit ribosomal RNA", at positions 775 to 1067 of the family's 1533-position model. The record is from RNAcentral.
GGAUUAGAUACCCUGGUAGUCCACACUGUAAACGAUGAUAACUAGAUGUUCGGCAGCAAUGCUGAGUGUUCAAGCGAAAGCGAUAAGUUAUCCACCUGGGGAGUACGACCGCAAGGUUGAAACUCAAAGGAAUUGACGGGGGCCCGCACAAGUGGUGGAGCAUGUGGUUUAAUUCGAUGAUACGCGAGGAACCUUACCUAGGCUAGAAUGUUACUGCAUAUACUUGAAAGGGUAUAGUCCUUCGGGACAGGAAACAAGGUGCUGCAUGGUUGUCGUCAGCUCGUGCCG